Loxodonta africana (African savanna elephant) is the source of this 74-nucleotide transfer RNA. It matches the Rfam family "tRNA". From Rfam's summary of the family: Transfer RNA (tRNA) molecules are approximately 80 nucleotides in length. Their secondary structure includes four short double-helical elements and three loops (D, anti-codon, and T loops). NCBI's taxonomy places the organism in Eukaryota, Metazoa, Chordata, Mammalia, Proboscidea, Elephantidae. The record is from Rfam.
CCCUCAGUGGUGCAAACGGUUAACUCACUUAACUGCUAAUUGAAAGGUUGGUGGUUUGAGUCCACCCAGAGGCA